Molecule: long non-coding RNA, 1050 nt
Filed under: Anser cygnoides (Swan goose)
Lineage: Eukaryota; Metazoa; Chordata; Aves; Anseriformes; Anatidae
Description: lncRNA (ENSACDG00005014119.1)
Source: RNAcentral
AUGCUGCUGGGGAACAUCAGAGCACGCCCCAGGCGGCCCCCUCCAAGGGCAGCCCUGCGUCCUGCUGCCCGGGCAGGGGCUCGCAGCCCGGCAGGGAGGUGGAAGCCGGCACAGCUCCCUGCCUCCUGCCAGCAGAAGGGAACCAUCUGCUGCGGCCCGUCGUCAUCUGAGGACGGCAGUGGCAAGGAGCUGGAGCAUCUGUCUGAGGGACGAGCCCCCCGCAGAUGGACGCCCAAAUGUUCUCGCCGCUCCCCGCGGGGCUGCGAGGGGAAAACGGCCCAGGGCUCCUGCGCCCAGUCCCCGGUCCCUCGCCGCCACGCCGGGGUGGGGACGGCUGCCGAAAGCUGGUCUUGGGAGGCCCCCUGCUUCCCGGCAGCGAAUAGCAGGGCUCUCGCCCAGCCCUGCCUGCGCGCCGUGCUCGCCGGGCCUUUCGGAAGGACCGAGGUGCAAUUCCCCCCUUCUGGCACCAGACAAUGCCGGGAAUUAUUCUGGAGUGUUAUUACCGAGCGGGCAGUGCCCUGCACUUUAGCGGGGCUUUCACAGCGUGCUCGGAGGGGGGAAGCUCUAAAAACAGCGCUCGGAGCUCUUAGCCUGUCUUUUGUCCUCUGUUUUUUCUGGCCGUGUUCAGUUUGCCGGCUUUGUCUGCGUGUUGCAAAGUGCCAUCAGCAUCGACGGCACCGCGGAAACACCCGUAACAAGGAGAGGCAUCGAUCCGCGCUGCGGAGAGGCCCGACCACCACGCGGAGGGGCCGCGCUGGGUUUCCUGGAUGGCAGGAGCAGGUCGCGGGCACGCACACACACACACACGCACACCCCUGCCCUCGCCCCGUCCUGCCUCGCUGCGGGGCCGGCGGAGAGGCCUCCUCCCGAUGGGGGCUCUGGGAGGAGUGCGCGGGGAGGCAGCAGGCAACGAGUGGGCAGCAGCGCGUGCGGGAGCGGCGCUGGCGCUGCGGGAGGAGUGAUUCAGCCCUCAGCUGGCGAGCUCCCGGUGCCCACCCUUUGUUUAUUCCUGCGCCGCUCGAAGCUCGCGUGUGCCGAGCAGGAGGAUAA